This 502-nucleotide ribosomal RNA is filed under the name uncultured bacterium. Its description in RNAcentral is "bacterial SSU rRNA". It matches the Rfam family "Bacterial small subunit ribosomal RNA", at positions 9 to 507 of the family's 1533-position model. The record is from RNAcentral.
GAGUUUGAUCUUGGCUCAGAUUGAACGCUGGCGGCAGGCCUAACACAUGCAAGUCGAGCGGUAGAGAGAAGCUUGCUUCUCUUGAGAGCGGCGGACGGGUGAGUAAUGCCUAGGAAUCUGCCUGGUAGUGGGGGAUAACGCUCGGAAACGGACGCUAAUACUGCAUACGUCCUACGGGAGAAAGCAGGGGACCUUCGGGCCUUGCGCUAUCAGAUGAGCCUAGGUCGGAUUAGCUAGUUGGUGAGGUAAUGGCUCACCAAGGCGACGAUCCGUAACUGGUCUGAGAGGAUGAUCAGUCACACUGGAACUGAGACACGGUCCAGACUCCUACCGGGAGGCAGCAGUGGGGAAUAUUGGACAAUGGGCGAAAGCCUGAUCCAGCCAUGCCGCGUGUGUGAAGAAGGUCUUCGGAUUGUAAAGCACUUUAAGUUGGAGGAAGGCAGUAAAUUAAUACUUUGCUGUUUGACGUUACCGACUAGAAUAAGCACCGGCUAACUCUGUG